GGCGGGGCUACUGAAUGGUGGGAAGGGGCGGGAUCUUGCCGCCGCGGCUGCCGCUGGAGCCGGUGUCCGGGCUGGUGAUGGGGUUAAUUUCCUUUCGUAAGACUCUUACUUGUACCCACCCAGACCCGCCGUCGCCCCGCCGCGCCGUGCUCCAAUCGCCUCCUCCUCCUCAAUAACGCGGAGCUGGAGCCCGGACUCUGCCUGGUUUCCUGGGAGCUCUUGAGGAUAAGGACAAUCUACUCCCCCUGAACUCUUGGCCUUGCACAUUCACCCGGAUGAGCACCCAGCCCCCACUCAC
Molecule: long non-coding RNA, 298 nt
Filed under: Heterocephalus glaber (naked mole-rat)
Lineage: Eukaryota; Metazoa; Chordata; Mammalia; Rodentia; Bathyergidae
Description: lncRNA (ENSHGLG00000040283.1)
Source: RNAcentral